This 88-nucleotide ribosomal RNA is filed under the name Galathealinum brachiosum. Its description in RNAcentral is "partial large subunit ribosomal RNA". The record is from RNAcentral. Lineage: Eukaryota; Metazoa; Annelida; Polychaeta; Sabellida; Siboglinidae.
AAAUAAAACUAAUAGUUAUUAGUACGAAAGGACCAUAAUUAUUAAAAAUUUUAAAUCUAUAAGAAAUCAUAUAAAUUUAUUUAAUUUA